ACCCUUUUGUCAUUCAUAAGCAGGAUGACUGGGUUUUCAUGCACUUGUGUGAGAUGCGCCUCCCUCAAUGUUGGCACAUUACCUGUCUGAUG
Small nucleolar RNA from Pongo abelii (Sumatran orangutan), 92 nucleotides. The record is from Ensembl. NCBI's taxonomy places the organism in Eukaryota, Metazoa, Chordata, Mammalia, Primates, Hominidae.